AUUGCCUCUGUUCUAACACA
This 20-nucleotide microRNA is filed under the name Callithrix jacchus (white-tufted-ear marmoset). Its description in RNAcentral is "cja-miR-3152". The record is from miRBase by way of RNAcentral. Lineage: Eukaryota; Metazoa; Chordata; Mammalia; Primates; Cebidae.